UACGUAGGGGGCAAGCGUUGUCCGGAAUUAUUGGGCGUAAAGCGCGCGCAGGCGGCUGUUUAAGUCGGAUGUGAAAGACCACGGCUCAACCGUGGGGGUGCAUCCGAAACUGGGCAGCUGGAGUGCAGGAGAGGAGAGUGGAAUUCCCGGUGUAGCGGUGGAAUGCGUAGAGAUCGGGAGGAACACCAGUGGCGAAGGCGGCUCUCUGGCCUGUAACUGACGCUGAGGCGCGAAAGCGUGGGGAGCAAACAGG
RNAcentral lists this unclassified non-coding RNA (253 nucleotides) under uncultured Thermoactinomycetaceae bacterium. RNAcentral's name for it is "contains 16S-23S intergenic spacer region". It matches the Rfam family "Bacterial small subunit ribosomal RNA", at positions 524 to 776 of the family's 1533-position model. Lineage: Bacteria; Bacillati; Bacillota; Bacilli; Caryophanales; Thermoactinomycetaceae. The record is from RNAcentral.